Molecule: long non-coding RNA, 1022 nt
Organism: Bicyclus anynana (squinting bush brown)
Lineage: Eukaryota; Metazoa; Arthropoda; Insecta; Lepidoptera; Nymphalidae
Exons: 2
Source: RefSeq, a predicted model, not a curated record
GUGCACUGCCAUGGUAAAUGUGAUCAACCCCUCCACUAAUGAAAGAAUGGUAGUGCGAGCUCUUCUUGACAGUGGGAGCCAAUGUUCAUUUUUGUCAGCAUCAGUGAAAACAAAGCUCAGGUUGGCUUCUCAGAGCACUACAACCAAGAUUAUGGGUAUAGGCGGCCAAAAGCUAAAUGUUAAUACACAACGUUGCUCAGUGCGCAUUCAGUCAAAAUGCAGUGACUUUUCUACGACUACUACCUGUCUUGUCCUGCCUAAACUCACUGGCAAUAUACCUAAAGUUACAUUUGAUAUAAACCAUUUCAAUAUUUCUAAUUUCCAGUUGGCGGAUCCAACGUUCAAUAUACCUUCUGAACCAGACAUGAUCCUGGGUGCAGAACUAUUUUGGAGUAUCAUAGGUACCGAGCAUCAUUCCCUUGACCUCUUAGUUCACUACCAGGCCCAUCAUUUGCCGAAGUCAAGGAGAGCCGCUUGGACCGAUAUCAACGUCUAGAGAGAGCCAGGCAACACUUUUGGAGAAGAUGGUCCAGUGAAUAUGUGGCCGAGCUACAGCAGCGAGUGAAGUGGCGCACCAAAUGCACUAAUCUGAAGGUGGAUGAUCUUGUAUUAAUAAAGGAGCCUAAUGCUCCACCGCUCUGCUGGCAGCUGGGGAGAGUGGCGAGGCUAUACCCUGGAUCAGAUGGCAUACCACGUGUGGCCGACGUCGCUACCGCCCAGGGGACCAUAAGACGUGCUCUCAAUCGCCUAAGCCUGCUGCCAAGUGACGAUUCAGCUUGAAAACUUCAUUUCAAGGGCCGGAGGAUGUUCGCGCUCGCGCUCUGUGUUGGUGUCAAUCAAAAUUCUCCGUCUAACUGACAUUACAUGUAUUAUGGGUCUGUGAAGUAUUAAUCUGUGCCCGCGCGUUUCGGUCUUGUCUCUUCGGUGUACGCGUCGUUUUUCCAUUGUCAAAAUUUUUCACCAACAUGUCUGUUUUUUAAUUAACCAAAGAUGUAAAGAAACUAGUACAACUACUGUAACAA